GAACCUCAUCACUUUGGAAAACUUUGGAUCAGCAGAGAAGAAGCUCUAUGACCGUUAGAGGACCGUUAAAGGACCGACCGUUAGAGGACCGUUAGAUGACCGUUAGAGGACCGUUAGAGGACCGUUAGACGACCGUUAAACGACCGUUAAAGGACCGUUAGAGGACCGUUAAAGGACCGUUAGAGGACCGUUAGAGGACCGUUAGAGGACCGUUAGAUGACCGUUAAAGGACCGUUAGAGGACCGUUAGAGGACCGUUAGAGGACCGUUAAAGGACCGUUAGAGGACCGUUAGAGGACCGUUAGAGGACCGUUAGAUGACCGUUAAAGGACCGUUAGAGUCACUUCUUUCUGGACAUCACUAAAGAAUUAAAGGACACUAUGCAGUGAGUGAAUUAUUAAUAUGAAAUGGAUAAACUUCUUCCUGCUGAAACAGAAGCAGUCUGGUGCUGCUGCGUGUGAGAGGCUCUGAACUCACCUGAACUCACCUGAGGUCAGCUGAAAGUUUGAAAGUUUGAAGUUUCUGGUCUGAGAUCAGAGUGGAUCUGGAUCAGGAUCUGGAUCAGGAUCUGGAUGAGGAUCAGGUGUUGUGGAGCAGGUCGAGCUGAUGGCACGCGCCUCUUUGAGUCUUCUUUGCUUUUUAGUUUUGGAUGAUUUGGAUGAGCUCGUGCUCGUGGUGAGCCUGGCACACGACCGGCCUCAGCCCUCUUAUAUAUAGACCCAGAACCCGGGACAAUGCCCGGCCCCCUGCUCCGGUACCCCCCCACCGGGCUGCAGGUCUGCCCCGUGCCGGAGGGGGGGGGAGCUCAUUAACAUAAUGACGCGCGCACAGAAGCGUGCCGGUAAUCACGGCCAGCCAAUCAGAGGAGGAGGAGGCCGGCCACGCGAGCGACACGCAGGGAGACAUAACCCCCCCGUAAGACCCCCCCAAACCCAAACCACCCCCCCACAAAACAUCACCCCCUCCGGGAGGCAGAGAGACCAAAGAGACCAAAGAGACCAGAGAGACCAAAGAGACCAGAUCCACCUUCAGAGUUAAAACCAAAAACAUAAAGAAUAAAGAAGAGUCAGGAGAACCCCCCCCCCCCCCCCCCCCCCCCCCCCACACCCUGCAGGGAGGAGACACGCUCCGGAGGAUUCACUCAUCCAUCCUCCAUCACUCCAUUCAUCCCUCCAUCAUCUAUUAAUACUUCUCCUCCUUCACUUCAGUAAAGACACAAAGAAACUCUGAAACAUUCAGUUUCACUUCUUUACUUUAAAUCAGUGAAAAGUUUCCUCAGUGAGUGAAGCAGCACAUUUAAUCUGUUGUUGUGUUUAUUCAUCAAGUCACAUAAUGAGGAGGAACUAAUAACACAUUUAUCUGUGCAAUAUAUCCUUGAUGCAAAUUACACCUCCAGUGCAACUUUGUCUAAAUUUUAUUUAUUACAUCUACCCUACCUCCUAUUUUACAAGAGCAAUUAUCUCUGUUUACAUUACAUCUAUUUCUAUAUUUUAUACCUCUAGUGUAACACUUCUGUUUAUAUUUAUUUAUUACAUCUACUUUAGCUGUUUUAUAUUACUUUUUAACUGUUUGUUUUC
Long non-coding RNA from Sebastes umbrosus (honeycomb rockfish), 1576 nucleotides. RefSeq lists it as uncharacterized. The record is from RefSeq and is a predicted model, not a curated record. The transcript has 4 exons. NCBI's taxonomy places the organism in Eukaryota, Metazoa, Chordata, Actinopteri, Perciformes, Sebastidae.